GUGGGUCUCGAUUGGAAGCGCCUAGUUUAUAGCAAGAAAAAUCAGCAACAAAUAUCCACUCUCUUAAAAGACCUAACAAAAGAAUCUUUGUUGAUAGAGAAAAAAAAAAUGCUGUAUUAACUGAGUGAAGGGCAUAGAGCCAAAAAAACAGAAGUAAAACGUUCCCCUUAAGGAAAAACAAUGGCCUAAUUAAAAAAUCGUUCAUGGCUGCUACUCAGCCAAUGCUCAUAUUGACAAUACUAAAUUUCAUGGCAAAGAGACCACAAAAACCACAAUAAAUUGCAAUAUAACAGCUAACAUAAU
Molecule: unclassified non-coding RNA, 303 nt
Filed under: Hevea brasiliensis (rubber tree)
Lineage: Eukaryota; Viridiplantae; Streptophyta; Magnoliopsida; Malpighiales; Euphorbiaceae
Source: RNAcentral